Molecule: ribosomal RNA, 137 nt
Filed under: Megapodius eremita
Lineage: Eukaryota; Metazoa; Chordata; Aves; Galliformes; Megapodiidae
Description: partial 16S ribosomal RNA
Source: RNAcentral
UAUGACACACUUCUCCUAGUACGAAAGGACCGAAGAAGUGAGGCCAAUACCCCAGGCAUGCCUCCCCUCUAAGUAGUGAACCCAACUCAACUGCCAAGAGGCCCACAACCACCACAAAAUCCUAGAAAAGGACACAA